UUUCCGUAGGUGAACCUGCGGAAGGAUCAUUCAUAAUAAGUGUUUUAUGGCACUUUUUAAAUCCAUAUCCACCUUGUGUGCAAUGUCAGGGUUGAUUUUUCUCUCGAGAGGAUCAGCCCCAAACAUCAAUUAUAUCUCAACUCUUGUCUGUAAAAUAUUAUGAAUAAAACAAUUCAAAAUACAACUUUCAACAACGGAUCUCUUGGCUCUC
Molecule: unclassified non-coding RNA, 211 nt
Filed under: plant metagenome
Description: partial contains small subunit ribosomal RNA, internal transcribed spacer 1, and 5.8S ribosomal RNA
Source: RNAcentral